RNAcentral lists this long non-coding RNA (346 nucleotides) under Eutrema salsugineum. RNAcentral describes it as "long non-coding RNA (ESAL_LNC000810)". Lineage: Eukaryota; Viridiplantae; Streptophyta; Magnoliopsida; Brassicales; Brassicaceae. The record is from RNAcentral.
CGAGCAAGAAGAAGAUGACGAGUAUGAUCAGCUGCCACCGUUUAAGCCUCUCCGGAAAUCCCAGCUUGCUAAACUCUCAAAGGAACAGAGAAACGCAUACUUUGACGAGUAUAAUUACCGGGAAAAGCUCCUGAAGAGGAAACAAUGGAAAGAGGAGCUGAGAAGGAUGAGAGAAACGAAGAAAAACGGGAAAAAGAUAGAAGACGAACCGGAAGAAGAAGAAGACGAUCCACUUGCAUCGUCGUCUCCUGCUUUGCUACCGGAUAUAGAAUUGCCAACUUCAUUUGACAGUGAUAACUCAGCUUAUCGUUACCGUUCUCUUGAACCCACUUCAAAGUUCCUUACC